GGAAAUAUAGCUCAGUGUUAGAGUGCUUGCCUAGCAUGUACAAGGACCUGGGUUCAAUCCCCAGAAUCUCUC
RNAcentral lists this transfer RNA (72 nucleotides) under Neotoma lepida (desert woodrat). It matches the Rfam family "tRNA". Rfam says of the family: Transfer RNA (tRNA) molecules are approximately 80 nucleotides in length. Lineage: Eukaryota; Metazoa; Chordata; Mammalia; Rodentia; Cricetidae. The record is from Rfam by way of RNAcentral.